GAUGAACGCUGGCGGCGUGCUUAACACAUGCAAGUCGAACGGGAAUUAUUUUAUUGAAACUUCGGUCGAUUUAAUUUAAUUCUAGUGGCGGACGGGUGAGUAACGCGUGGGUAACCUGCCUUAUACAGGGGGAUAACAGUCAGAAAUGGCUGCUAAUACCGCAUAAGCGCACAGAGCUGCAUGGCUCAGUGUGAAAAACUCCGGUGGUAUAAGAUGGACCCGCGUUGGAUUAGCUGGUUGGUGGGGUAACGGCCCACCAAGGCGACGAUCCAUAGCCGGCCUGAGAGGGUGAACGGCCACAUUGGGACUGAGACACGGCACAGACUCCUACGGGAGGCAGCAGUGGGGAAUAUUGCACAAUGGGGGAAACCCUGAUGCAGCGACGCCGCGUGAAGGAAGAAGUAUCUCGGUAUGUAAACUUCUAUCAGCAGGGAAGAUAGUGACGGUACCUGACUAAGAAGCCCCGGCUAACUACGUG
This 478-nucleotide ribosomal RNA is filed under the name uncultured bacterium. RNAcentral describes it as "partial 16S ribosomal RNA". It matches the Rfam family "Bacterial small subunit ribosomal RNA", at positions 28 to 507 of the family's 1533-position model. The record is from RNAcentral.